This 421-nucleotide ribosomal RNA is filed under the name Fusobacteriota bacterium. RNAcentral describes it as "Fusobacteria bacterium partial 16S ribosomal RNA". It matches the Rfam family "Bacterial small subunit ribosomal RNA", at positions 355 to 776 of the family's 1533-position model. Lineage: Bacteria; Fusobacteriati; Fusobacteriota. The record is from RNAcentral.
UGGGGAAUAUUGCACAAUGGACGGAAGUUUGAUGCAGCGACGCCGCGUGGAGGGUGUAGGCCUUCGGGUUGUGAACUCCUUUUUCUCGCGAAAAAGGCACAGUUUUGGCUGUGUUGAUGGUAGUGGGGGAAGAAGCGCCGGCUAACUACGUGCCAGCAGCCGCGGUAAUACGUAGGGCGCGAGCGUUGUCCGGAGUUAUUGGGCGUAAAGAGCUCGUAGGUGGUUCGUCGCGUCUGUCGUGAAAGCCAGCAGCUUAACUGUUGGUCUGCGGUGGGUACGGGCGGGUUUGAGUGCGGUAGGGGUGACUGGAAUUCCUGGUGUAGCGGUGUAAUGCGCAGAUAUCAGGAGGAACACCGAUGGCGAAGGCAGGUCACUGGGCCGUUACUGACACUGAGUAGCGAAAGCGUGGGGAGCGAACAGG